RNAcentral lists this long non-coding RNA (423 nucleotides) under Solanum tuberosum (potato). Its description in RNAcentral is "long non-coding RNA (STUB_LNC011355)". Lineage: Eukaryota; Viridiplantae; Streptophyta; Magnoliopsida; Solanales; Solanaceae. The record is from RNAcentral.
UGAAGAUAUUGGACAACAGGAAGAAAUACAAAAAAUAGAGAUACCAAGUUUUUAUGCCAAUAAAAGAAUAAUUGGUAUAUCAACUAUUAUACAAGAGUUAACAAACAAUUAUUUGAACGGGAAUGCUAUAUGGAGUUACUACUCUAGAGAUCAGUUAAUGAUAUAUUCAAAUUCGAGAGAACUAAGAAGAACAAAUAUGGAUGAAGUCUAGCGAUGGAUUUUAUCAUUAUAAAAACCAGAAGAAAGACCUACGACAAGAGCACUCAAAGCAGGAUUUAUUUCGCCAGAACUAUUAACCAGAUAUUGCAAGCUAAUUGGACACAAAUACCCUGAUCAUCUAUGUUCAAAAUGUAAUGGAGAAGACAACGUGAUUCCCGAUGUCCAGCUAGAAUAAAGUCAAAGAGAUAUGAAGACAAAGAAGAU